UGUUGCAGUUAAAAAGCUCGUAGUCGGAUUUCAGUAUUAGGCCCUUCUUCCAAUACGGUUGCUAGUGGUCUUUACUUCCUUAACAGAAUCUUUCAUCUCAUUAAUUUGGGGUGUUUGGGGCCUGUUUCUUUUACUUUGAGAAAAUUAGAGUGUUCAAAGCGGGUUUUCGCCUGGAUAUUACUCUUGGAAUAAUAAUAUAGGACUUUGGUUCUUUUUUGUUGGUGACUUAGAACCGAAGUAAUGAUUGAUAGGGACAGUUGGGGUCAUUCGUACUAUGAAGCGAGAGGUGAAAUUCAUGGACCUUUGUAUGACGAACUACUGCGAAAGCAUUUGACUAGGAUGUU
This 344-nucleotide ribosomal RNA is filed under the name uncultured marine eukaryote. Its description in RNAcentral is "SSU rRNA". It matches the Rfam family "Eukaryotic small subunit ribosomal RNA", at positions 611 to 968 of the family's 1831-position model. The record is from RNAcentral.